GAUGAAGAACGUAGCGAAACGCGAUAUGUAAUGUGAAUUGCAGAAUUCAGUGAAUCAUCGAAUCUUUGAACGCACAUGGCGCCUUCCAGUAUCCUGGGAGGCAUGCCUGUCCGAGCGUCGUUUCAACCCUCGAGCCCCCGUGGCCCGGCGUUGGGGAUCUGCCACGGCAGGCCCCUAAAACCAGUGGCGGACCCGAAGGCCCUCUCCUUUGCGCAGUAGCAUCAGCCUCGCAUUGGGAUCCCUCGGCGUCCUGUCUCUAAACCCCCCACAAGUCCGCUCCGGCGGCACCAAGGUUGACCUCGGAUCAGGUAGGAAUACCCGCUGAACUUAAGCAUAUCAAUAAGCGGAGGA
Molecule: unclassified non-coding RNA, 351 nt
Filed under: soil metagenome
Description: partial contains 5.8S ribosomal RNA, internal transcribed spacer 2, and large subunit ribosomal RNA
Rfam family: 5.8S ribosomal RNA (bases 1-120)
Source: RNAcentral